Molecule: small RNA, 80 nt
Filed under: Manihot esculenta (cassava)
Lineage: Eukaryota; Viridiplantae; Streptophyta; Magnoliopsida; Malpighiales; Euphorbiaceae
Description: precursor microRNA miR477b
Source: RNAcentral
AAGCUUCCAAUCUCCCUCAAAGGCUUCCAAUAUUCCAGGCCAUGGAAAUGUUGGAGACCUUUGGAGGGGAUUGAAGGCUU